RNAcentral lists this ribosomal RNA (253 nucleotides) under uncultured bacterium. RNAcentral's name for it is "partial 16S ribosomal RNA". It matches the Rfam family "Bacterial small subunit ribosomal RNA", at positions 524 to 776 of the family's 1533-position model. The record is from RNAcentral.
UACGUAGGGGGCAAGCGUUGUCCGGAUUUAUUGGGCGUAAAGAGCGUGUAGGCGGUUUGGUAAGUCCGCUGUGAAAACUCGAGGCUCAACCUCGAGACGCCGGUGGAAACCAUCAGGCUAGAGUCCGGAAGAGGAGAGUGGAAUUCCUGGUGUAGCGGUGAAAUGCGCAGAUAUCAGGAAGAACACCCGUGGCGAAGGCGGCUCUCUGGGACGGUACUGACGCUGAGACGCGAAAGCGUGGGGAGCGAACAGG